This 61-nucleotide ribosomal RNA is filed under the name Trichoderma viride. Its description in RNAcentral is "partial 28S ribosomal RNA". It matches the Rfam family "Eukaryotic large subunit ribosomal RNA", at positions 1 to 59 of the family's 3401-position model. Lineage: Eukaryota; Fungi; Ascomycota; Sordariomycetes; Hypocreales; Hypocreaceae. The record is from RNAcentral.
GUUGACCUCGGAUCAGGUAGGAAUACCCGCUGAACUUAAGCAUAUCAUUAAGCGGAGGAAA